ACCCAGGCGCGGUGCUCUGUGUGCGAACAGUGUGUUUAUUUACAGUGUGUGGUACAAACAAUAAUAAAUCUCCGUGUUUUCCCCAGACUCCCGUGAUGUGUCCUCCUUGUGCUCUCUGCUCCCGUGUGUCGCACUCCCGGUGCUCGCCGCUCUUCAGCAGCAGGUGCGUGGCUUCGGGUGUGGCCAGUCCCCUAGCAGGGCCACACCCACCAGGCCUGAAGGCACCUAUAAACGAGUGCUCAGACACACAGCCACCCACACACAUAUGUACAAGCAUAGGGAAAAGGGGGAGCAACACCAAAAAUACAUAAGUAACAUAAGUCUAUAACUGCUCAGGGAUCCUGGGUCGCUCAGACCCAGGACCCUGACACAUAUCUUCAUGUUGAUUUACAGAACACUGUCAAACUCACAAACUGGGUAAAGUGUAGUGGAGUUGAAUAUCGUGUUGGGCUUUUUGUUUGUACAGGCACUUAUGAAAACAUCCCAGUUUUCAGCAAGAUGACUUCGAUCAUUUUGCAUGAUGGUAAAGCUAUUUUUGUUAUGGUUGAGCAUGAAACGUGUUUCCAUGAUCAUUUUCAUGCUUUUCAGGUAAAUGAAACUAUUCCUAAAAAGAUACUGGUCCUAGAAAGGGAGAAAUUAAGACAUUACAAAUGUUUUGAUGCCCAAAUGUCAUAUGGGUGUGAUUCACAAUUUUAUGUUGUGUCAGAGAGUUGCAUUAUUUGAUUUGUUGGCUUAAUGGAGAAUUUAUAGUCUUCCUCAUGUUAACACUGCAUUACAAGAAGUGCUUAUUCUGUAGUGAUUUUUUUCUUUAAUUCUGUUUUUUUUCUUUUCCCCCAAUGUUAGGCCAAUCUGACCACACAAUGUCUCAACUGUUUAGCUGCCAUUAAUGAUGGAUGUUACGCUAUUACAGUACUGUUACACAGAAUGUAUGCUAAUCCAUGCAGCAUUCAAUUUUGAAUGUUAUUUUUGAUAAAUAAAAUUAAUACAUUCAUAAUAACCAGUAUGGUGUCUUGUAGUAAUUUCCACCUAAAACCUUUUUUCAUUUGAUGAGAAACACUAUAAAAGAGUUAAUAUCAAAUUAACUCUAGUUAUGAGUUACAUUUUACUCUAUAUGGUAGUAGAAAUUUAACUCCAUGAGAGUUCAGUUUUAACUCAUAAAGAGUUGAAAAAUCAACUCCCGGGAAAGACUCUGCACUAGAGUUCAUUCGAUGGUCACGCAUGUACACUCAAAUGUAAUUAAUCUGAACUCCCAGAGAGUUUAUUCCAAAGACCAGAAUUUGCUGUGUACAUUUUAAGAGUAAUGAUGGUCUGUCUCUCUUCCAUUGUUA
Oreochromis aureus is the source of this 1328-nucleotide long non-coding RNA. The record is from Ensembl. Lineage: Eukaryota; Metazoa; Chordata; Actinopteri; Cichliformes; Cichlidae.